Humulus lupulus (European hop) is the source of this 581-nucleotide long non-coding RNA. RefSeq lists it as uncharacterized. The record is from RefSeq and is a predicted model, not a curated record. The transcript has 2 exons. NCBI's taxonomy places the organism in Eukaryota, Viridiplantae, Streptophyta, Magnoliopsida, Rosales, Cannabaceae.
GUUCCAUCCCUACACCUCAUGGAUCCCUAUAAUGUGCGUGUUAUACAUGAGUAAUAAUAUGGAUAAUAUUAUGAUGACAUAAAUCAUUUGCAUAGAUUCACAGGACACUUCUUUCUGUCUUUAAUUUCUCUUCUUUUUUUUUACCAGGGUUAUAUAAGUUUGCGGAACUUCACCCAGCAGUUCCGAAAUUUCUCCAUAUAAAUUGUCUAACCCUUAAAAAGGCUCAAACAUCAGGAUCAUUUAUUCUUCUAAUUUUUUUAACGUUAUACUUUUGACAAUUUAUAUGUAGAUGGCUUGGAAAGGUUACUCUUGAAACCUACAUUUCUCAGUUCCACAUCUGGUUGAGGUACUUCCUACUAUAUAAAGUUUCUUCGGAGUAUACCACAUGAUCCAGUGAUGACAGAUUCGAGUUCGACUACAAAAUUUUAGUAGUGUUUUUUUUUAUUUUUUAUUUUGUGGUGUACUACUUUUAUAUAUUAGCUUAACUUUUUAGUUAAUAUUUUAGAAAUGUUUUGUAUUGCACUUAAUUACUAAUUACUAAUGUAAUGAUAUUAAUAUUUAGUGAAUAUUUGUUUUUGUAA